AACUCGUAUGUAUAUAUAAUUCUUGUUGGGUAUAAAAUACCCCCAGCCAAAGUUUGUAAAAGACUGACCCUUCCAGGACUUUUCUGGCUUCCGACCUUGUAUGGCGUCUUUCUGAACCCCCUCGACCAUCCGAGCUUCCAUAAUACCAUCCAGACUUCUCCGACAAUGAGCUUCUCCAUUCAUCUACCGGGCUGCUCCAAAGGCUCUCUGGGCUUCACUAUCAGCUGAUCUUCUACAGUGAUCAACUAUUCUCCGAAUCCCUUCUAGACUUCUUCCGGUCAUGGAUGAUCCUACUCCAAACUUCUUUCAGACUUCAUCAAUAUCUGAGCUUCUCUGACAAUGAGAUUUCUACAGUAACCAAACUUUAUCCAAGUUUCUACGACGAUCGAUCGCCUUCCAGAUUCCACCCGAGCUCCUGUGAGAGUCAAACUUCUACAGCAAGCAGUCUACUCCGAACUCCUACUGCAGGCGGUCUACUUCGGAUAUCUACUUCGGGUUCCAGACGAGCUUCUACAAUGGGACAGGCUCCACCAGUCAGGUCACUACUUCGAGCUUCCACGACAAUCGAUCUUCGAUCGAGCUUCUACAAUAAGCGGCCUCCUUUCGGCCUUCUGCAAGAAUCGGACUCC
This 629-nucleotide long non-coding RNA is filed under the name Elaeis guineensis (African oil palm). Its description in RNAcentral is "long non-coding RNA (EGUI_LNC065962)". Lineage: Eukaryota; Viridiplantae; Streptophyta; Magnoliopsida; Arecales; Arecaceae. The record is from RNAcentral.